RNAcentral lists this ribosomal RNA (120 nucleotides) under Chlamydomonas leiostraca. The record is from RNAcentral. Lineage: Eukaryota; Viridiplantae; Chlorophyta; Chlorophyceae; Chlamydomonadales; Chlamydomonadaceae.
UGGUGUUCUUGUUAAGCUGGAUCCACACCUACCCCAUCUCGAACUAGGUUGUGAAAAAGCUUAGGAGUUUUUUUGUACUUGUCGACAGCUCGUCCGGGAAGAAAAACUUAAUGCCAGGGA